GGAGGCGCCAUCUUUAACAAGGGCCAUUUGGGAGGCCAUCUUGGCUCAGGGCGUCUUUUUGAAAGGUUACCUGCUAGAGAUUACGACCUAUCAGGGCAUGCAUAGAAUUGGCUCUAGUUUCUAGCCACUAGUCUCCAUGACAACAACUGAGGAAGAGCACCCAAACGACAAGAAGAAAAAGAAUGUUUUGCCAAAUAUGUGAAGAUAUAAUACCUAUCACCAAAGACUUUAAUAAGAAUAAUGAAAAUCCACACUAUGUGUUAAAAUACAGCUUUUAUUCUGA
Molecule: long non-coding RNA, 283 nt
Organism: Symphalangus syndactylus (siamang)
Lineage: Eukaryota; Metazoa; Chordata; Mammalia; Primates; Hylobatidae
Source: RefSeq, a predicted model, not a curated record